ACGGGAGGCAGCAGUGGGGAAUAUUGGGCAAUGGGGGAAACCCUGACCCAGCAACGCCGCGUGAAGGAAGAAGGCCUUCGGGUUGUAAACUUCUUUUACCAGGGACGAAGAAUGACGGUACCUGGAGAAAAAGCAGCGGCUAACUACGUGCCAGCAGCCGCGGUAAUACGGAGGUUGCAAGCGUUGUCCGGAUUUACUGGGUGUAAAGGGCGUGUAGGCGGAGCUGCAAGUCAGAUGUGAAAUCCCGGGGCUCAACCCCGGAACUGCAUUUGAAACUGUAGCCCUUGAGUAUCGGAGAGGCAAGCGGAAUUCCUAGUGUAGCGGUGAAAUGCGUAGAUAUUAGGUGGAACACCAGUGGCGAAGGCGGCUUACUGGACGAUAACUGACGUUGAGGCUCGAAAGCGUGGGGAGCAAACAGGAUUAGAUACCCUGGUA
Molecule: ribosomal RNA, 435 nt
Filed under: uncultured Oscillospiraceae bacterium
Lineage: Bacteria; Bacillati; Bacillota; Clostridia; Eubacteriales; Oscillospiraceae
Description: partial 16S ribosomal RNA
Rfam family: Bacterial small subunit ribosomal RNA
Source: RNAcentral